ACUCAAAUGAAUAGACGGGGGAGCACCACAACGGGUGGAGCCUGCGGUUUAAUCGGACUCAACGCCGGGAAUCUCACCGGAUAAGACAGCUGAAUGAUAGUCGGGAUGAAGACUCUACUUGACUAGCUGAGAGGAGGUGCAUGGCCGUCGUCAGUUCGUACUGUGAAGCAUCCUGUUUAGUCAGGCAACGAGCGAGACCCACGCGAGCAGUUGCCAGCUUGACCUUUGGGUUGAUGGGGACACUGCUCGGACCGCCUCUGCUAAAGGGGAGGAAGGACUGGGCAACGGUAGGUCAGCAUGCCCCGAAUUAUCCGGGCUACACGCGGGCUACAAUGGACAGGACAAUGGGUUUCGACACCGAGAGGUGAGGAUAAUCUCCUAAACCUGUCCCAAGUUCGGAUUGCGGGUUGUAACUCACCCGCAUGAAGCUGGAAUCCGUAGUAAUCGCGUUUCAACAUACCGCGGUGAAUAUGUCCCUGCUCCUUGCACACACCGCCCGU
RNAcentral lists this ribosomal RNA (500 nucleotides) under uncultured bacterium. RNAcentral's name for it is "bacterial SSU rRNA". It matches the Rfam family "Archaeal small subunit ribosomal RNA", at positions 854 to 1353 of the family's 1478-position model. The record is from RNAcentral.